This is a long non-coding RNA of Xyrauchen texanus (razorback sucker), 1599 nucleotides long. RefSeq lists it as uncharacterized. Lineage: Eukaryota; Metazoa; Chordata; Actinopteri; Cypriniformes; Catostomidae. The record is from RefSeq and is a predicted model, not a curated record. The transcript has 3 exons.
AUUCCUGGCUACUAGUUGCAGGACUUUCACAGUAUAUUACAGAAGAAUUUAUUACAAUUAAUAGACAACUGUAUACUGUGAUUUAACAGUGAACAGUUCCAGGAAAUUACUUUAUGUAGCAAUGCUGCAUUGUGGAAUCACAAUGAUCAUCUGUAUUUUUUAUUUACAUUUUUUUUUUAUCAAAAGUGUUGGUUAACUGUCACCAUCGCAGAGUUAAAUAUGCUAAGAGUUGAUAUCUGUCUGUGCUUGGUUGACAUAUUUUUUGUAAAGUUCAUGAGAGAUAAAACCAAUCAUAUCAUAGACUAGUAUUGCAAACAUCCCUCCUUCAUAUUAUGUUUAAAAUGGCAGUACGAUAUUUCUUUACUUUCAAUUAUAAUUUACAGUGGUAGCCAACACAGCAUAAGUAAAUCAAUAAACUGAACUAAAUUUCUCCAAACAGCACAGUGCAACAUAUUCUGAUUGUAAACACUAUUGCACCAAUUGGAAGAAAUUAAUCAGAAAUAAAUAAGCCAAAGUUCCCAUCCAAAGGGAACACUAAACACCAUAAUGGUGACUUCAAAUAAUCCCACAAUGCAGUAUGAUAUUAUGAUUUCUUUUUUCACAUUUGUUUUGUUAUGACAGAAAAUUACCUAGCCUGCAUUUAUUUUAAAGUACAAAUCUAAAUACAGUAUUUUAUAGUAAGAAAUGACUGUUAAACUUUUUACAGUGUACCAAAGAUGAUGCUCCAUCUUCACCAGUCUUCUGGAUUCUUUAGAUUAGCUGUACAUUUUUCAUCAGUGAAUACCUAAAGACUGAAUGCCUUUUAUACUUUCAGAUUCAUAAUGAUUCAAAAUUCUCUACAGACUCUUGAAAAUUGUAUUCUUCUCUUACAUUUUCCUUAGAAAAACUGUACUUGAAUGUCUGAUAAUCUUAUGUAAAUGAAAAUAGUUGAUACUGGCUGUGUGUUGGAAAUGAACAUGACUUAUUUCACCUGUCACCAAGCAGCUGGUAUUGUUUCUUGUAAUAAUCUCUGCUAAUUCGACUGCACACAAAUAUAUGCUGUAAGUUUAUUUCAAAACAUUAAUAAUGUUCCCUUGUCAAACAAGCUUAUUGACUGAGCUCUCUAUAAAUUUUCAUUACAUAUUAAAAAAAAAAAAUACAUUAUGCUGACCUCAAUGACCUUGACUUGACUGAUUAUUUUUCCAUUCAAACUGAUAAAGCUGUUUUCCCAUUCUCAAGGCCUCUAUGUCCACAUCUGCACCAGUUCCCAGGGCACGUACAGUAAAUCUCCUCAGAAAACAUGGGAAGAACGAAACAAGUUUCCAGGAGCACAUCAGAGCCAAACAUUGAAUUAAGCCGACUACACUGAUAAAGAGAUGUGUUGAUCUCUAUUCAAGAGACUGUCAAAUGUACAAUGUCAAAGAGAGGAAGUGAUGGGGAUGUUCCAGUGUCUCAACUUGGAUCAGCACAUACAUCCUCAACCUGAUCUUUCAUAUGGUUUCAAGACCACUCAGUGCAGAGAGUUGGCAUCACACUGAUGACAUGGAGAUGGCUGAAGUGAAGUUUCGUUUAAUUUGUUGAAUCCAAAAGACCUCACUGCAUUUCAUAACAAUAUGCUGU